GGCCGUACAUAUCUCUGCCUGGAGCCAGGCCUGAUUCUGCCCUGCUGAUUGGAAUAUUGGACUUGGAGGUGUCCAUUCUGAUUCCGAAGUCUGUUCCUGUCUCCUGGCCUGUGCCAAACUCUCUUUCCUUAAAGGAUUGCUUUGGCCUUCCUGGAGUUUGUGGAGGAGAAGAAAGCAUCAGAGUGUCUAGCCAAUGCGAGCUGCCCACUGCCCAGGUGGAGAUUGAAGAGAAAAGAACCCUGUUACCUUCUCUAAAAAUCCCAGCUGCCCAGAACUCACCAUUAUCCAGUCACCAUGCACUUUCACAUCAUCUCUUCUGCCUUGUCCUGGGGCCCAAAGAACUGAAUCACAGUAUCACUAGGUGGGCGGGUGACGAAUGGGGUGUGUUUAGAAAUGUCAUCUGUCCGGGAGGAGAUUACAAAGGCCAAGUGGAUGAAAGCCACUUCCAUUCGUCUUAACAGUAGUGUAUGACAGCUUCUCAAAAUAGCAGUCUACAUUUUCUGCUUUGACUUCAUUGCUACAAAUUACUCCUUAAUAUUUAACUACUUGCAACUUGGCUCCAACUUCAUUGGAAUUAUUUUCUCCAAGGUCACCAAACUACCUCUUUAUUGAUAGACUCAGUAACAUCUUAAGAAUUUUUGUCCUCCAGGAGCUUUCUGCUGCAUUUGAUGUGACUGAUUUUAUCUUCUUCUUUGUGCAAUAAUGUCCAGCUUUGGCUGACCCAACAUUAUGCUCAUUAGGUUUUCCUCAUACCCUCUUUUUUUCUUUUUUUUGAGGAAGAUUAGCCCUGAGCUAACUGCUGCCCAUCCUCUCUUUUUGCUGAGGCAGACUGGCCCUGAGCUAACAUCCAUGCCCAUCUUCCUCUACUUUUUUUUAAUACGUGGGACGCCUACCACAGCAUGGUGUGCCAAGCGGUGCCAUGUCCAUACCCGGGAUCCGAACCGGUGAACCCCAGGCUCCAGAGAAGCAGAACGUGCAAACUUAACCACUGCGCCACCUGGCUGGCCCCUCCUCAUACCGUCUGAGCACUCUUCUUUCUCCUUCUGGGAGAUUCUUCCUCCAAAUACCCAUCAUAUGUGGCCCUUGUUAAAGGUUUUGUUCUUAGCCAUGUCUCUUUUUUACUUUAGGUGAACUUGAACAUUCUCAUUCUCUAGGGAAAGCUUCUAGCAUCUCUGAGGAUGAUUCACAAAUCUACAUUUCAGCUUUGUGCUCCAAAGCCAAAUGUCCAACUGCUUCUAAAUAUCCUUAGGCGUUCACAUUCAACAUGUCCCAAACCAAAUACUUCAUUAUCACCUUAAAGUCUGCCCCUGAAUUUCCUAAUUCUGAUAACGGACCCACCAUUCUCUCAGUCAUCCAGACUAGAAAUCCUGCUAUCUUUGACUUUUCCCAAUAUGGUUCUAUAUAGUAACUAGAAAAAAAAUAUGUAAAAGCUUAAGAAGAGUUGUAUGCUUGCUUUGGAGACAGUGAAGUAGGGAGAAACUGGGAAUUCACUCCUAAUUCAUAAGUGGUCUGGAGGGUGAGGCAGCCACUGAGAGAGCGUGCUGGCAGUCACUACAUCAGUGAAUUGCAAGUUCUGUUGGUAAUGCCUCCAAUAUGUUUCUCUUUCUGUCUCUUCCUUUCCGGCCACACUGCACUAGUUUAGUACCUUGUGUCGUUUGUCCUGGAUUAUUGUAAUAGCCUCCUAGAUGUAAGGCCGUGGGCUGGAUUCUCAACAUCUUCCUGCACAAGUCAGGACAAGAGAGAUGCGAGCAAGCAGUAAAACUUAGCCGCGGGUAGAGAGAGUGGGAAGGAGGGUGGUUAGCUGACGAUUAGAGAAACAUAAGGCAACAGUGUGCAGUGGACCUCAACAAAGUUGGUGCUGUCUUGGGUCACAGUUUCAGACCUAGAAUGAGAAAGGUGAUCAGACCUCUCUAGUUGGAGGGUGUCACAAAGUUGGAUCACUGCCUUCUGUUCUUGCAACAACACAUGAAAAGAAAUAGAGACAAGGGGCUGGCCAAGUGGCGCAGAGGUUAAGUUCCUGCAUUCCACUUUGGCGGUCUGGGGUUUGCAGGUUCGGAUCCCGGGUGUGGACCUACACACCACUUGUCAAGCCAUGCUGUGGCAGGCGUCCCACAUAUAAAGUAGAGGAAGAUGGGCACGGAUGUUAGCUCAGGGCCAAUCUUCCUCAGCAAAAAGAGGGGAUUGGCAGCGGAUGUUAGCUCAGGGCUAAUCUUCCUAAAAAAAAAAGAGACAAUAUGGAGUUUAUUUGAGAGAGUCAUCAGGGUAAUGAAGGGCCCUAAAGUUAUAUCUCAUGAAGAAUGUUGACUAACUGGAGAUAUUUAACUUGGAGAAAAUACAACAGAGAGAUUAUGGUUGGCUUCAUAUAUAUAAAAAACUAUCUUGUGGAAAUCACCUAAGAACUUUAUAAAUGUCAGUGUUGUCCUGAGAUGGAAUGCAUUCAUUUCAACAGAUAUUUGUUGUAUGCCUGCUCUGUGCCAGGCACUGAGGAUAUGUGAUAAGCAAGACAGUCCCUAUCAUCAUCGAACUUGAUUUCUGAUCUGACAGACAACAAGCGAAUGAACAAAUACGUAAAUGAGUAAUAUAAAUUCCAGAAAGUGAUGGGAUCAGAUGCUAGGAGUAUGUGAGCCUAGAUUUUGGGACCACUUGGCAGGAAGGUUUUAGAAGAGAUUUAAGCAUUAGAUGGAUUAUUGGAUCAGAUGACCUUAGGGGACCCUUCAACCCCAAGAAUUUAUGAUUCUGCUUUUCUACUAUUAUCUACCAAAUUAGGACUUCCUCUCAGAUACCCUAAGGCUUAGAAACCCCCAACUCCUUGCUAUUCCAGGAACAAGCCCUGUACUGCGGUUAGUGAGUCAGCAAUGACUCAGUGUGAGUAUUUGCCCAUGUGGUUCAUUUGCCUGGAAUGCCUUUCUCUAACUUCUCUGCCUCUCAAAAUCCUCCUUGUCCAACAAGGCUUAACCCAAAGAUAAACUUUUUAAUCAAGAUUUCUGGGUACCCUGAAAUAUGUUGUUCCCCACUCUGGCCCAGCAACACUCAGCUUGUAACACUAUUAAAGCCCUCACUGUGUUUUACUUGUAUUGGAGUUCACUAUUUCUCAGUCUGCUUCCCUACUAGCUUCUGAUUUUCUUGAGGGCAGGGACCAAAUCUUCCUUCUUUUAUAAUGGUCCAUAGUGCGAAUCUCCUAGUCAUUGCUUUGCACUCAGAAGAUAUUCAACAAAUAAAUGAAUGUGACUCCAGGCAAUAAAUACGUUCAUUAUUAUCUGAAGUGAAUUAGACAUGACCAUUGCUUUAAGUAGGAAAAGGAAUAACCUAUUGGUUUAACCAAGAAUCUUCUCUCCCAAUCUCUGCUAUAUCCCUCUCUGCUUACUAGCUAUGUAGCCCUGAGCACAUUGCCUAACAUCUUAAUGCCUCAGUUUCUUCGUGUAUACAAUGGCAAUAAUAAUAGUACCUACUUCAUAAGAUUUUUGCAAGGAUGAACAAUCCCCAUCAAGAGGCUAGGUCAGCACCUACCACAUAAUUAGCCCUCACUAAAUAUUAGCAAUUAUUAUUAUAAUGAUGAUUAGGCAUUCCUGCCCUCCAGUAGCUUUAAAAGUAUGGUUUCAUAGGAAGAAACAAGAAUUUUUGAACAGAAAUUACAAAAGAACGCAGAUGACUGAUUUUAUAUUAGGUAAAGCUUCCAUCAUCCCUAUUAGGCAAAGACAAUUUGACAUAUAAAAUUAAGAGGGAAGCCCCUACUUGUGUUGACUUGGAAAAUAGUGUAAUAGAAGAACUAACUAUAGUUACCAGCAAGAGCCCCUGUAGGGGAUGGGCCUUAGAGACAACCUCCCCUCUAUGGAAGAGAAAGAGAUGGUUCAGAGAGGUUCAGUGGUUUGCUCAAGGUCACACAGCUGACUGUCAGAAUGGGGAGACUAACGUUAACCUUCCAGGUCUGCCUGGCUCCUUAGCCCCUGCUCUUUCCACUGCACCCUGCUGCCUUCCAGUUGCAUGGC
This 3986-nucleotide long non-coding RNA is filed under the name Equus caballus (horse). RNAcentral describes it as "lncRNA (ENSECAG00000045306.1)". Lineage: Eukaryota; Metazoa; Chordata; Mammalia; Perissodactyla; Equidae. The record is from RNAcentral.